This 931-nucleotide non-coding RNA is filed under the name Human immunodeficiency virus 1. The record is from RNAcentral. Lineage: Riboviria; Pararnavirae; Artverviricota; Revtraviricetes; Ortervirales; Retroviridae.
AUGCCCCAGACUGUGAGUUGCAACAUAUGCUGUUGCGCAUCAAUAGCUUUCAGCAGAUUAUUCUGCUGUUGCACUAUACCAGACAAUAAUUGUCUGGCCUGUACCGUCAGCGUUAGUGACGCUGCGCCCAUAGUGCUUCCUGCUGCUCCCAAGAACCCAAGGAACAUAGCUCCUAUUGUUCCCACUGCUCUUUUUUCUCUCUGCACCACUCUUCUCUUUGCCUUGGUGGGUGCUAUUCCUAAUGGUUCAAUUUUUACUACUUUAUACUUGUAUAAUUCACUUCUCCAAUUGUCCCUCAUGUCUCCUCCUCCAGGUCUGAAGAUUUCAGUAUCAUUGUCAGUUUUAUUAAGACCACCAUCUCUUACUAGUAUCAGCCCUGUAAUAAUUGAUGAACAGCUGAUGUUUCCUCUGAUAGGAGGGGCAUACAUUGCUUUUCCUACUGUCUGCCACAUGUUUAUAAUUUGUUUUAUUCUGCAUGGGAGUGUGAUAAUUUUUCCAUCAUUGGUGCUAUUUAACUCUUCCCAAGUAUUAUUACCAUCCCAAGUACUAUUAAACAGUCGGCUUGUAUUACAGUAGAAAAAUUCCCCUCCACAGUUAAAACUGUGUUGUGUAAUUUCUAGGUCCCCUCCUGAGGAUUGAUUAAAUUUUAUUGUUUUAUUUUUAAAUUGGUCUCUUAAUUUCUAGCUACCUGCUGCAAUGUUGCAUUCCAUUGAGCUUGAGAUAUGCUACAAUGUGCUGCUCUUAUGUCUCCUAUUAUAUCUCCUGUUGCAUAAAAUGCCCUCCCGGGUCCUAUAUGUAUACUCUUUCUUGUAUUGUUGUUGGGUCUUGUACAGUUUAUCUCCACAGAUCUAUUCAACUGUACUAUUAUGACCUUAGCAUUGUCUGAAAAGUUUUUAGAUCUAAUCAUUACCUCAUCUUCUGCUAGACUGCC